AGUGAAUAGUUUAAAAAAACAUUAAUUUUGGAGAUUAAAGAUGGGAUUUAAUUCUCUUUACUGA
This 64-nucleotide transfer RNA is filed under the name Sclomina erinacea. RNAcentral's name for it is "tRNA-Pro". Lineage: Eukaryota; Metazoa; Arthropoda; Insecta; Hemiptera; Reduviidae. The record is from RNAcentral.